AGACUAUAAGAGUGUUGUGUCUA
This 23-nucleotide non-coding RNA is filed under the name Arabidopsis thaliana (thale cress). The record is from RNAcentral. Lineage: Eukaryota; Viridiplantae; Streptophyta; Magnoliopsida; Brassicales; Brassicaceae.